AUGGGCACACCGUGGGCGCUUUUUGGGUUUCAGUGCUGGGGGCUGGGGGAGCCUCCUCUGCCUCCCAGGGACAAACCUCAGCCACGCUGGCACUGGGGCUGGGGCUGCUGCUGGUCACGUGUGCUUGCCGAGGGAGCCCCGCAGCUGCCCGCAGGGGCUGGGAGCCCGGCAGGACGCGGCGCAGGGGCUUGUGCUCAGCCUGGCCCCCAGAGCAGCCCCCGGCCUUCGGUAGGGUUGGUGGAGACCUGGCCACCGGCUUCGGGUCCCCGUUCCCAGCAGGGGCUGCUCCAUCAGCUCCCAGUUUGGGUGUGGGGAUCUGCAGGGCCUCGGGCUCUGCUGCUUCCCAGGGACAGAUGUCGGCUCUCCGGCUCUCCGAGCUGUCCCACUUCUUGGACGCCUCUCUCCCCGUCCCAGCUUUUUUGGGGGGCUCCCCCGUGCCCAGGCUCUCCCAGGGGCACACGGCCUCUCGCUCGCUGCUCCCCUUCUCCACCGCCUUGGAGGCUCCCCGGUGUUGGGGCCGGGGUCUCGCCUCCCCCGGGGCUGCCCCAGUUCUCUCAGAGGAGGCUCCUUUCCGUGGCAGAGCUGCAGCCGCCUCCCAGGGGCAGAUUUCAGCUUUAUCCCCAGCCCCCAGCUCCUGAGCCUCCCAGGGACAGAUCUCCGUGCUCAGGGCUCUCCCUUGGGGCAGCGCUGGGCUCCCCAAACCCGGGCUGUCCCAGGGACAGACCUCGGCCACGCUGCUCCCGGUGCUCCCCGGUUUGGUGGGGGCAGCUUUUGGCAGCUCUGGGCUCUUUGUGCCCCCCAUGCUCUCCCAGGGGCAGACGGCCUCACGGUCCCAGCUUUUUGGGCUGUCUCCGGUCUCCUUCAAGCCACCUCGCUCCGUGGAGGUGUUCCUGCUCCCUCCGGCCCGACCGCCUCCGUCCUGCCUCAGUUUCCCUUUAUCCGAGGGGACAGCGGCCACCUCCCAGGGGCAGAUCUCGGCUUUGCCCCCAGCCCCCAGCCCCUGAGCCUCCCACGGGCAGACCUCCGCCUUCGGGCUCUCGGUGCUCUGAGCCUCCCUCGCUGCGGGCAGCGCUGGGACCCCCACGCGGGGUUUUGGGGGGUCCCAGGGGCUCACAG
RNAcentral lists this long non-coding RNA (1116 nucleotides) under Anas platyrhynchos platyrhynchos (common mallard). Its description in RNAcentral is "lncRNA (ENSAPLG00000029304.1)". Lineage: Eukaryota; Metazoa; Chordata; Aves; Anseriformes; Anatidae. The record is from RNAcentral.